This 421-nucleotide RNase P RNA is filed under the name Frankia sp. AgB1.9. Its description in RNAcentral is "RNase P RNA component class A". It matches the Rfam family "Bacterial RNase P class A". Rfam says of the family: Ribonuclease P (RNase P) is a ubiquitous endoribonuclease, found in archaea, bacteria and eukarya as well as chloroplasts and mitochondria. Its best characterised activity is the generation of mature 5'-ends of tRNAs by cleaving the 5'-leader elements of precursor-tRNAs. RNAcentral also lists the same sequence under 2 other names. The record is from RNAcentral. Lineage: Bacteria; Bacillati; Actinomycetota; Actinomycetes; Frankiales; Frankiaceae.
CGAGUCGGCCGGGCGGUCGCGUCGGGGCCGGCGUGAGCCGGCACCCGCCGAGGAAAGUCCGGACUCCGCACGGCAGGGUGGUGGGUAACGCCCACCCGGGGUGACCCGCGGGAAAGUGCCACAGAGAACAGACCGCCGGUUCCGGAGCCGCGAGGCGCCGGAUCGGUAAGGGUGAAACGGUGCGGUAAGAGCGCACCAGCGCCCGGGGUGACCCGGGCGGCUCGGUAAACCCCACCCGGAGCAAGGUCAAAAGGCGUCCGGCCGCGAGGCCGGCCGCCGCGCGGGCGAUCGAGGGCUGCCCGCCCGAGUCCGCGGGUAGACCGCACGAGGCCGUCGGCAACGGCGGCCCUAGAGAGAUGACCGCCGCCGGCGGCCGCGAGGCCGCCGGGCACAGAAUCCGGCUUACAGGCCGACUCGUCCC